RNAcentral lists this ribosomal RNA (343 nucleotides) under uncultured soil bacterium. RNAcentral's name for it is "bacterial SSU rRNA". It matches the Rfam family "Bacterial small subunit ribosomal RNA", at positions 26 to 375 of the family's 1533-position model. The record is from RNAcentral.
AGAUUGAACGCUGGCGGCAUGCUUUACACAUGCAAGUCGAACGGUAACAGGCCGCAAGGUGCUGACGAGUGGCGAACGGGUGAGUAAUGCAUCGGAACGUGCCCAGUCGUGGGGGAUAACGCAGCGAAAGCUGUGCUAAUACCGCAUACGAUCUAUGGAUGAAAGCGGGGGACCGAAAGGCCUCGCGCGAUUGGAGCGGCCGAUGUCAGAUUAGCUAGUUGGUGGGUAAAGGCCACCAAGGCGACGAUCUGUAGCUGGUCUGAGAGGACGACCAGCCACACUGGAACUGAGACACGGUCCAGACCUCCUACGGGAGGCAGCAGGUGGGAAUUUGGACAAUGGG